GAUGAAGAACGUAGCGAAAUGCGAUAAGUAAUGUGAAUUGCAGAAUUCUGUGAAUCAUCGAAUCUUUGAACGCACCUUGCGCCUUUUGGUAUUCCGAAAGGCACACCUGUUUGAGCGUCAUGAAUACCUCAAUCUCCAUCUUUUCUUCGGAUUGAUGGGUGACUUGGAUGUUGAGCCCUGCUGGUAUGCUAUAUCAGCUGGCUUUAAACUUAUUAGCCGGCUCUGUACUGGAUCGGUUUGACUCGACGUGAUAAUAUUAUCGUUGAGGAUGCAUGUCUCAUGCAGCCGGAAAGUAUCAAAGCAGCUUCUAGCUUGCCUUUAGUGCACUUUUACAUUUUAGACCUCAGAUCAGGUGGGACUACCCGCUGAACUUAAGCAUAUCAAUAAGCGGAGGA
Molecule: unclassified non-coding RNA, 395 nt
Filed under: soil metagenome
Description: partial contains 5.8S ribosomal RNA, internal transcribed spacer 2, and large subunit ribosomal RNA
Rfam family: 5.8S ribosomal RNA (bases 1-120)
Source: RNAcentral